Molecule: non-coding RNA, 148 nt
Filed under: Chlorocebus sabaeus (green monkey)
Lineage: Eukaryota; Metazoa; Chordata; Mammalia; Primates; Cercopithecidae
Source: Rfam by way of RNAcentral
GCUGGGCAUAGUGGUGUGUGUCUGUAGUCCCAGCUACUUGGGAGGCUGAGGUAGGAGGAUUGCUUGAGUUCAGGAGGUUGAGGCUGCAGUGAGCUGUGAUUGCACCACUACACUCCAGCCUGUGCCACAGAGCAAGACCCUGUCUCAA